AGAAAGUGAAAUUCUUGGGGCUGCUAACUUCAAGACUUGCAAUUUUAUUGUAACAUUUUCUU
This 62-nucleotide transfer RNA is filed under the name Megabalanus ajax. RNAcentral's name for it is "tRNA-Ser". The record is from RNAcentral. Lineage: Eukaryota; Metazoa; Arthropoda; Thecostraca; Balanomorpha; Balanidae.